GUCGAACGCUGGCGGCGUGCUUAACACAUGCAAGUCGAACGGAAAGGCCUCUUUCGGGGUGUCCGCGAGUGGCGAACGGGUGAGUAACACGUGAGUAACCUGCCCUUGACUUUGGGAUAACUUCAGGAAACUGGGGCUAAUACCGGAGAGGAGCUCCUGCUGCAUGGUGGGGGUUGGAAAGUUUCGGCGGUUGGGGAUGGACUCGCGGCUUAUCAGCUUGUUGGUGGGGUAGUGGCUUACCAAGGCUGUGACGGGUAGCCGGCCUGAGAGGGUGACCGGCCACAUUGGGACUGAGGGGCGGCCCAGACUCCUACGGGUGGCAGCAGGGGGGAAUAUUGCACAAUGGGUGGCGGCCUGGUGCAGCAACGCCGUGGGCGGGAUGGCGGCCUUGGGGUUGUAGACCGCGUUCGCUCGUGACGAAGCGUUGUGUGACGGUAGUGGGUAAAGAAGCACCGGCUAACUACGUG
RNAcentral lists this ribosomal RNA (467 nucleotides) under uncultured bacterium. RNAcentral's name for it is "partial 16S ribosomal RNA". It matches the Rfam family "Bacterial small subunit ribosomal RNA", at positions 28 to 507 of the family's 1533-position model. The record is from RNAcentral.